Molecule: ribosomal RNA, 252 nt
Filed under: uncultured bacterium
Lineage: Bacteria
Description: partial 16S ribosomal RNA
Rfam family: Bacterial small subunit ribosomal RNA
Source: RNAcentral
GACAGAGGCCUCAAGCGUUAGGCGGAAUCACUGGGCUUAAAGCGUGUGUAGGCGGAUGCCUAAGUACCUUGUGAAAUCCCACGGCUCAACCGUGGAACUGCUGGUAUACUGGGCGUCUUGGGCCAUUCAGGGGCGACUGGAACAAGCGGUGGAGCGGUGAAAUGCGUAGAUAUCGCUUGGAACGCCGAAGGUGAAAACAGGUCGCUGGGGAUGUGCCGACGCUGAGACACGAAAGCCAGGGGAGCAAACGGG